GGGUGUAUAGCUCAGUGGUAGAGCGCAUGCCUAGCAUGAUGCAUGAGGUCCUGGGUUCAAUCCCUAGUACCUCCA
This 75-nucleotide transfer RNA is filed under the name Camelus ferus (Wild Bactrian camel). It matches the Rfam family "tRNA". Rfam says of the family: Transfer RNA (tRNA) molecules are approximately 80 nucleotides in length. Their secondary structure includes four short double-helical elements and three loops (D, anti-codon, and T loops). Lineage: Eukaryota; Metazoa; Chordata; Mammalia; Artiodactyla; Camelidae. The record is from Rfam by way of RNAcentral.